RNAcentral lists this ribosomal RNA (558 nucleotides) under uncultured archaeon. RNAcentral's name for it is "bacterial SSU rRNA". It matches the Rfam family "Archaeal small subunit ribosomal RNA", at positions 322 to 882 of the family's 1478-position model. The record is from RNAcentral.
AUUACGGGGUGCAGCAGGCGCGAAAACUCCGCAAUGCGCGAAAGCGUGACGGGGCUACCCCGAGUGCCGUCCGCUGAGGAUGGCUUUUCCCCGGUGUAGUGAGCCGGGGGAAUAAGGAGAGGGCAAGCCUGGUGUCAGCCGCCGCGGUAAAACCAGCUCUCCGAGUGGUAGGGACGAUUAUUGGGCUUAAAGCGUCCGUAGCCGGCCUGGCAAGUCUCCCGUUAAAUCCAGCGACCUAAUCGUUGGACCGCGGGAGAUACUGUUGGGCUAGGAGGCGGGAGAGGCCGACGGUAUUCCCGGGGUAGGGGUGAAAUCCUAUAAUCCUGGGAGGACCACCAGUGGCGAAGGCUGUCGGCUAGAACGCGCUUGACGGUGAGGGACGAAAGCUGGGGGAGCGAACCGGAUUAGAUACCCGGGUAGUCCCAGCUGUAAACGAUGCGGGCUAGGUGUUGGGGUGGCUACGAGCCACUUCAGUGCCGCAGGGAAGCCAUUAAGCCCGCCGCCUGGGGAGUACGGCCGCAAGGCUGAAACUUAAAGGAAUUGGCGGGGGAGCACAAU